ACGAACGCUGGCGGCGUGCUUAACCCCUGCAAGUCGCACGGAAAGGCCCUGCUUUUGUGGGGUGCUCGAGUGGCGAACGGGUGAGUAACACGUGAGUAACCUGCCCUUGACUUUGGGAUAACUUCAGGAAACUGGGGCUAAUACCGGAUAGGAGCUCCUGCUGCAUGGUGGGGGUUGGAAAGUUUCGGCGGUUGGGGAUGGACUCGCGGCUUAUCAGCUUGUUGGUGGGGUAGUGGCUUACCAAGGCUUUGUCGGGUAGCCGGCCUGAGAGGGUGACCGGCCACAUUGGGACUGAGAUACGGCCCAGACUCCUACGGGAGGCAGCAGUGGGGAAUAUUGCACAAUGGGCGGAAGCCUGAUGCAGCAACGCCGCGUGCGGGAUGACGGCCUUCGGGUUGUAAACCGCUUUCGCCUGUGACGAAGCGUGAGUGACGGUAAUGGGUAAAGAAGCACCGGCUAACUACGUG
RNAcentral lists this ribosomal RNA (467 nucleotides) under uncultured bacterium. Its description in RNAcentral is "partial 16S ribosomal RNA". It matches the Rfam family "Bacterial small subunit ribosomal RNA", at positions 29 to 507 of the family's 1533-position model. The record is from RNAcentral.